AAUUUUCCUUUCCUUGCCCUACAGAUGAUGAACCUCCUUCCAAAUUAAAACCCAGAACUGGAUCAACAAGCUUCCCAUAUUUUAUUUUCCAUCCCAUCUUCUGCUGGCCCAUUCUGAAUCCUCUAUUUUCCUUGCCGAUUCCUCCCAUAUCCCCAUCACCUUCCUCACGUAACCAAACACUAUUCAUGGUCAAAGCCCUUCGAGAUUGUGCUCUUAUAGAUAAGUCCCAAACCAUUUCAGCAAUUUCCACUCCAGUAUUCAUUUUUGCUUGACAAAAACGAAUCACUAUGGCCUAAUCUUCCACAAUAAAAAUAGAAAAGUGAUAAUCGCUCAUAUUUAAAAGUAACAUAUGAACGUCUCCCAUCAAAUAAAAUUUGUUUCUUUCUUUUUAGAGGACGCCUUAUAUCAAAUUGGACAUUUAUUCGCAUAAAAUUUCUAUUCUCUUUUCCCAGAUUUAAAACAUCAUAUUCUAGAAAAUUCCCCAAGAAAUUACCCAAUUGCGUUGCUAGGUUUUCAGAAAACAGACCAAUAGGCACAUCAUGAAUCUAAACCUAGAAAGGUAUCAAAACUAGAAGGAUCUGUAACGGAUCCUCCCCCAAUUGCAAUUUGUAAAGUAUCAUCAAAUGAUUAUUAAAGGUCCAAAGGGAACCCUUUAAAACCCUUUCCAUAUCCAGAGCGUGAAAGAAUUGAAACAAAUACCUUUUUUCCCCCAGAUUUUGAAUUCGAAAGCCUCAAACCGGAUGCCACAAAUUUGUCAUAGUACUUUUCAUGGUUGGAAAGUGAAUUAUACUGGCUGUGAGAAAACAACCCACAAGUUGAAAAAUCUCACCUCCUCUUUCUAAACCUAGAUCUAUUCGAAUGUGAAUAGCAUCCUUUUCUUCUUCAUUAAUCGACAAUUGGGCUAGUUCAUCCUCCAUUAUUUCCAAGUAUAUAUCAC
This 937-nucleotide long non-coding RNA is filed under the name Gossypium barbadense (sea-island cotton). RNAcentral describes it as "long non-coding RNA (GBAR_LNC014371)". The record is from RNAcentral. Lineage: Eukaryota; Viridiplantae; Streptophyta; Magnoliopsida; Malvales; Malvaceae.